This 445-nucleotide ribosomal RNA is filed under the name uncultured bacterium. RNAcentral describes it as "partial 16S ribosomal RNA". It matches the Rfam family "Bacterial small subunit ribosomal RNA", at positions 354 to 796 of the family's 1533-position model. The record is from RNAcentral.
GUGAGGAAUAUUGGUCAAUGGACGCAAGUCUGAACCAGCUAUGCCGCGUGCAGGAAGAAGGUUCUAUGGAUCGUAAACUGCUUUUGUACAGGAAGAAAUUAUCCCUCGUGAGGGAGCUUGACGGUACUGUAAGAAUAAGGAUCGGCUAACUCCGUGCCAGCAGCCGCGGUAAUACGGAGGAUCCAAGCGUUAUCCGGAAUCAUUGGGUUUAAAGGGUUCGUAGGCGGUUUUGUAAGUCAGUGGUGAAAGUUUGCAGCUUAACUGUAAAAUUGCCAUUGAUACUGCAAGACUUGAAUGUUUGUGAAGUAGCUAGAAGAUGUAGUGUAGCGGUGAAAUGCUUAGAUAUUACAUGGAAUACCGAUUGCGAAGGCAGGUUACUAACAAAUUAUUGACGCUGAUGGACGAAAGCGUGGGGAGCGAACAGGAUUAGAUACCCGUGUAGUCC